Molecule: ribosomal RNA, 392 nt
Filed under: Cryocola sp.
Lineage: Bacteria; Bacillati; Actinomycetota; Actinomycetes; Micrococcales; Microbacteriaceae
Description: bacterial SSU rRNA
Rfam family: Bacterial small subunit ribosomal RNA
Source: RNAcentral
UACCCUGCAGAAGAAAGCGACCGGCCUAAACUACGUGCCAGCAGCCGCGGUAAUACGUAGGGUGCGAGCGUUGUCCGGAAUUAUUGGGCGUAAAGAGCUCGUAGGCGGUUUGUCGCGUCUGCUGUGAAAACCGGAGGCUCAACCUCCAGCCUGCAGUGGGUACGGGCAGACUAGAGUGCGGUAGGGGAGAAUGGAAUUCCUGGUGUAGCGGUGGAAUGCGCAGAUAUCAGGAGGAACACCGAUGGCGAAGGCAGUUCUCUGGGCCGUAACUGACGCUGAGGAGCGAAAGCGUGGGGAGCGAACAGGAUUAGAUACCCUGGUAGUCCACGCCGUAAACGUUGGGCGCUAGGUGUGGGCGAACAUUCCACGGUGUCCGUGUCGUAGCUAACGCA